Molecule: ribosomal RNA, 352 nt
Filed under: uncultured bacterium
Lineage: Bacteria
Description: bacterial SSU rRNA
Rfam family: Bacterial small subunit ribosomal RNA
Source: RNAcentral
UUUGGAUUAAUACCUCAUAGUAUUUUCGAUACGCAUGAUUUGAUUAUUAAAGUUCCAACGGUAAAAGAUGAGUAUGCGUCCCAUUAGCUAGAUGGUAAGGUAACGGCUUACCAUGGCAAUGAUGGGUAGGGGUCCUGAGAGGAGAUCCCCCCACACUGGUACUGAGACACGGACCAGACUCCUACGGGAGGCAGCAGUGAGGAAUAUUGGACAAUGGGCGCAAGCCUGAUCCAGCCAUGCCGCGUGCAGGAAUAAGGUCCUAUGGAUUGUAAACUGCUUUUAUACAGGAAGAAACACACCCUCGUGAGGGUACUUGACGGUACUGUAUGAAUAAGGACCGGCUAACUCCGUG